UACUGAGUUUACGCUCUACAACCCUUUGUGAACAUACCUAUAACUGCUUGCUUCGGCGGGUAGGGUCUCCGUGACCCUCCCGGCCUCCCGCCCCCGGGCGGGUCGGCGCCCGCCGGAGGAUAACCAAACUCUGAUUUAACGACGUUUCUUCUGAGUGGUACAAGCAAAUAAUCAAAACUUUUAACAACGGAUCUCUUGGUUCUGGCAUCGAUGAAGAACGCAGCGAAAUGCGAUAAGUAAUGUGAAUUGCAGAAUUCAGUGAAUCAUCGAAUCUUUGAACGCACAUUGCGCCCGCCAGCAUUCUGGCGGGCAUGCCUGUUCGAGCGUCAUUUCAACCCUCAAGCUCUGCUUGGUGUUGGGGCCCUACAGCUGAUGUAGGCCCUCAAAGGUAGUGGCGGACCCUCCCGGAGCCUCCUUUGCGUAGUAACUUUACGUCUCGCACUGGGAUCCGGAGGGACUCUUGCCGUAAAACCCCCAAUUUUCCAAAGGUUGACCUCGGAUCAGGUAGGAAUACCCGCUGAACUUAAGCAUAUCAAUAAGCGGAGGAAAAGAAACCAACAGGGAUUGCCUCAGUAACGGCGAGUGAAGCGGCAACAGCUCAAAUUUGAAAUCUGGCCCUAGGCCCGAGUUGUAAUUUGCAGAGGAUGCUUUUGGUGCGGUGCCUUCCAAGUUCCCUAGAACGGGACGCCAGAGAGGGUGAGAGCCCCGUACAGUUGGACACCAAGCCUUUGUAAAGCUCCUUCGACGAGUCGAGUAGUUUGGGAAUGCUGCUCAAAAUGGGAGGUAUAUUUCUUCUAAAGCUAAAUACCGGCCAGAGACCGAUAGCGCACAAGUAGAGUGAUCGAAAGAUGAAAAGCACUUUGAAAAGAGGGUUAAACAGCACGUGAAAUUGUUAAAAGGGAAGCGCUUGUGACCAGACUUGCGUCCGGUGAAUCACCCAGCUCUCGCGGCUGGGGCACUUCGCCGGCUCAGGCCAGCAUCAGCUCGCUGUCGGGGACAAAAGCUUCAGGAACGUAGCUCUCUUCGGGGAGUGUUAUAGCCUGUUGCAUAAUACCCUUCGGCGGGCUGAGGUACGCGUCCG
This 1081-nucleotide ribosomal RNA is filed under the name fungal endophyte. RNAcentral describes it as "eukaryotic LSU rRNA". The stretch from base 491 to 1081 matches the Rfam family "Eukaryotic large subunit ribosomal RNA", at positions 1 to 603 of the family's 3401-position model. Lineage: Eukaryota; Fungi. The record is from RNAcentral.